UACGUAGGGUGCAAGCGUUGUCCGGAAUUAUUGGGCGUAAAGAGCUCGUAGGCGGUCUGUUGCGUCGGCUGUGAAAACCCGGGGCUCAACUCCGGGCCUGCAGCCGAUACGGGCAGACUAGAGUUCGGCAGGGGAGACUGGAAUUCCUGGUGUAGCGGUGAAAUGCGCAGAUAUCAGGAGGAACACCGGUGGCGAAGGCGGGUCUCUGGGCAGAUACUGACACUGAGGUGCGAAAGCGUGGGGAGCAAACAGG
This 253-nucleotide ribosomal RNA is filed under the name uncultured bacterium. Its description in RNAcentral is "partial 16S ribosomal RNA". It matches the Rfam family "Bacterial small subunit ribosomal RNA", at positions 524 to 776 of the family's 1533-position model. The record is from RNAcentral.